UCGAGCGAACAGACGAGGAGCUUGCUCCUCUGACGUUAGCGGCGGACGGGUGAGUAACACGUGGAUAACCUACCUAUAAGACUGGGAUAACUUCGGGAAACCGGAGCUAAUACCGGAUAAUAUAUUGAACCGCAUGGUUCAAUAGUGAAAGACGGUUUUGCUGUCACUUAUAGAUGGAUCCGCGUCGCAUUAGCUAGUUGGUAAGGUAACGGCUUACCAAGGCAACGAUGCGUAGCCGACCUGAGAGGGUGAUCGGCCACACUGGAACUGAGACACGGUCCAGACUCCUACGGGAGGCAGCAGUAGGGAAUCUUCCGCAAUGGGCGAAAGCCUGACGGAGCAACGCCGCGUGAGUGAUGAAGGUCUUCGGAUCGUAAAACUCUGUUAUUAGGGAAGAACAAAUGUGUAAGUAACUAUGCACGUCCUGACGGUACCUAAUCAGAAAGCCACGGCUAACUACGUGCCAGCAGCCGCGGUAAUACGUAGGUGGCAAGCGUUAUCCGGAAUUAUUGGGCGUAAAGCGCGCGUAGGCGGUUUUUUAAGUCUGAUGUGAAAGCCCACGGCUCAACCGUGGAGGGUCAUUGGAAACUGAAAAACUUGAGUGCAGAAGAGGAAAGUGGAAUUCCAUGUGUAGCGGUGAAAUGCGCAGAGAUAUGGAGGAACACCAGUGGCGAAGGCGACUUUCUGGUCUGUAACUGACGCUGAUGUGCGAAAGCGUGGGGAUCAAACAG
RNAcentral lists this ribosomal RNA (731 nucleotides) under uncultured Staphylococcus sp. RNAcentral's name for it is "bacterial SSU rRNA". It matches the Rfam family "Bacterial small subunit ribosomal RNA", at positions 62 to 775 of the family's 1533-position model. Lineage: Bacteria; Bacillati; Bacillota; Bacilli; Caryophanales; Staphylococcaceae. The record is from RNAcentral.